Ictidomys tridecemlineatus (thirteen-lined ground squirrel) is the source of this 2454-nucleotide non-coding RNA. NCBI's taxonomy places the organism in Eukaryota, Metazoa, Chordata, Mammalia, Rodentia, Sciuridae. The record is from RefSeq and is a predicted model, not a curated record.
UGUUUCAGAGAAAUCUCAGGAAACUGUCAGCUGAAAACUCAUGGUUAUUUGCUAUCUCAUCCAUUUAUUGAUAAGGUCAGAAGUAAAACCUUGGAACAGUAAGAGCUGAUGUGAUUUUGGUGGGGGGAGGAGGAGCAGCAUUAGAGGAUAAGAGGUGAUGUUGGUCUCCUGGAAUAGGACCCCAGGAGGCCGGUGGGUGGCAGCUUCAGGGCCAGGGCAGUGGAUGUGAUUUCUGAGGUUGGUGGGAGACUGCGAGGCUCACUGGCGGGCAGCCCUCUGGAUGGCUGUGGGGAUCAGGCAGGUCUGGGGCCUCCUUCCAGGGGACCUGGGCUUUUCAGUCAAUGGCUAUGCUACAAAGCAUGCUCAAAGAGAGGACCGUCACCAGGACCAGCAUGCAGAUCACAAAGCAACCGAGAAGAAAAUUUUGCUACAAAAUUUCUGCUGCAGGAGAGAGGGAAAGAGCUGAAAUGCCCCAAUCCCAUCGGCCUUUGCUCCCCCCGGGGGAAGUGCUUGUGGGGUGCCUGGGCCUCUGUGCCACCUGGGUCCUGUCUCUCCCUUCAGCUCCUCAGUGGAACCUCAAGCCGCUUCAGGCCCUUUCCUGUCUAAAACCCCACAGUUUGGAAGGAGGAGGGUGGGCCACGCGGUCCUGCCAGGGUUUCCUGAGCGUCACGGGCUCACAGCCUCACGGGUGGUGAUGGUGCCAAUUUUACAGGUGCCCACGUCAGUCUCUGCUCCCUGUGGAGCUCUGAGCCUCAAGCACAGAGCAGCUUAGAAAAAACAUCCCUGCAGGUUUCAAAAUCAGGGCACCGCACCGUGGGCCGAGAGUGUUCAGGACAGCAGGUGGCGCUGUCUCUCCUGGAACAGGCUGCCGUCCGCUCCUGCACAGGGAGGCCUGCAGGAUGGUCUCUGCAGUCUGCAAGCCUCCAAAGUGACCAGGACAAAACAUCAGGUCAGGACUGCCUGCCAGGUGGAACUGUCCCCUCACCUGAACGCACCAGGAGCCUUCAGCUAGGCCUGGGCUGCAGCAGUGACCAAAGAGAGAGCUGGGGAGAAACAGUGGACUAGAGCAGAACAGAGCAAGCCCACGGAACCCCUUUGGUUUCAGUCACAGAGGCUCGUAGUGACCACACCCACUGAAAAAGGUCAGGCCACUUCAGCCUCCUGGGAACUGGCACUUCCCCCCAGAGCGUGGGGUGGUACAGGUGCCCGCCGCCUUCGUCUAGCUGGUAGGACGCAGCGUGCCCUUCUUCACAGCCUGCAUCUUCUGGCUUCGGGGAGCAUCUUCAACACCAAAUUCCAGUGGAAAGAGAGAGGGCCAGCUCCUCCUCCCUGCCCAGGACCCAGGGCCCUGGAGACCUAGAGGUCAUCCUGUGAGCUGCUUCCCUCUGCCACACUCUUCCACCAAAAUUUCCUGCCUCACCUCGAGCCCCAAGGAAUGGAGCCUGCUGUCUAUGGACGGAGCCCUCUGAAAGUGUGCCGGGCUGGGCUCUAGGCUGGUGUCCUUCCAGAACAGAGGACAAGGAGACAUGGCACCCAUUUUGAAAGGACCCAGAACCAAUCCUAAUUUCAAGGCUGUCAGCAAGUUUCGUAUAGGCCGGGCUCACAGGACAAACAGGACCCGCCGGGAGGCUUGGAACAACACAGGCACCCUGUGAACAAGAGCAGAUUCAAGCUUGCCCGCCUGGCUCAGGGCUUUGCAAUCGAUUCAACGGCAGAGUUAAGUCUGAACCCCACAUCUUGCCUUGCUUUGAAGUGAGGAAUGCACUAAUGGGUUUCCUUCCCCACCUGGGGAGGAUACCUCCCCCUUGGUCCAGUCUAGUUUUUUCUCUGGCUGUACCUCAGACAAAGCGAGCCCAGAGCAGUGUGGGACUCCCACUUGGAGUCCGAGCCCCAGGAGCUGCUGACAGUGCUUGAGGAUUUUCCCAAUGAUGUUUUUUCACUCACACUCCAAGUUCUAGAGGGAACUGGCAGGUUCAAUAUUCAAGUCCCCAAUUUUCUCCAGACCUUGGACCCCAUUGUAUCCCACUGUCUGUGGGAGAGUCCCUCCUGGAGAACUCACAAACCCUCAAACUCAGUUCACUGUGUUUAACCCCAAAUCUUCCUCCCUUCCUGUGUGAUGCCAGGAGGGACCCCCAUGUUGCCAGGGUCUCUGUCUUACCUGCCAUUGCCCUCUGAUAUGUCACCAAAUCAGGCUGCAGUUCUGGACACCUCCUGAAUCUGUCUCAGCCUCUUCACAUCAAGUGAUGGUCACACCAAAGCCUGGGGCACGGGAGGGCAGUAUCUUACCCCCAGAGGGCCACGGCUCCCCUCAUUCCUUAACUGGAUUGGCUUUAAUGUCCCCCACAUCUAUUCUGUAAAAUGGUACCUAAAUAAUAAAUAAAAAGUUUGAAGAAUAGAGAUUGCCUGCAUUCAAGGUGUACUAUAUAGAUUUAAUAAACAUACGUGGCAUCUGUA